RNAcentral lists this ribosomal RNA (497 nucleotides) under uncultured bacterium. RNAcentral's name for it is "partial 16S ribosomal RNA". It matches the Rfam family "Bacterial small subunit ribosomal RNA", at positions 28 to 507 of the family's 1533-position model. The record is from RNAcentral.
GAUGAACGCUGGCGGCGUGCCUAAUACAUGCAAGUCGAGCGAACGGACGAGAAGCUUGCUUCUCUGAUGUUAGCGGCGGACGGGUGAGUAACACGUGGAUAACCUACCUAUAAGACUGGGAUAACUUCGGGAAACCGGAGCUAAUACCGGAUAAUAUUUUGAACCGCAUGGUUCAAAAGUGAAAGACGGUCUUGCUGUCACUUAUAGAUGGAUCCGCGCUGCAUUAGCUAGUUGGUAAGGUAACGGCUUACCAAGGCAACGAUGCAUAGCCGACCUGAGAGGGUGAUCGGCCACAAUGGAAAUAAGACACGGUACAGACUCAUACGGGAGGCAGCAGUAGGGAAUCUUCCGCAAUGGGCGAAAGCCUGACGGAGAAACGCAGCGUGAGUGAUGAAGGUCUUCGGAUCGUAAAACUCUGUUAUUAGGGAAGAACAUAUGUGUAAGUAACUGUGCACAUCUUGACGGUACCUAAUCAGAAAGCCAAGGAUAACUACGUG